AGCAGCCGCGGUAAUUCCAGCUCCAAUAGCGUAUAUUAAAGUUGUUGCAGUUAAAAAGCUCGUAGUUGAAUUUCGGGAUCAAUAUGUUGGUCGUGCCUCGGUACGUACUAGCUUAUUGGUUUCUCCUUUCUGAAGAACCAUGAUGUCAUUUAUUUGGUGUCGUGGGGAAUCAGGACUGUUACUUUGAAAAAAUUAGAGUGUUUAAAGCAGGCUCACGCUUGAAUACAUUAGCAUGGAAUAAUGAAAUAGGACGUUUGAUUCUAUUUUGUUGGUUUCUAGGAUCGACGUAAUGAUUAAUAGGGAUAGUUGGGGGCAUUAGUAUUCAAUUGUCAGAGGUGAAAUUCUUGGAUUUAUUGAAGACUAACUACUGCGAAAGCAUUUGCCAAGGAUGUUUUCAUUAAUCAAGAACGAAAGUUAGGGGAUCGAAGACGAUCAGAUACCGUCGUAGUCUUAACCAUAAACUAUGCCGACUAGGGAUCGGAUGAUGUUAAUUUUAAUGACUCAUUCGGCGCCUU
Molecule: unclassified non-coding RNA, 515 nt
Filed under: uncultured Glomus
Lineage: Eukaryota; Fungi; Glomeromycota; Glomeromycetes; Glomerales; Glomeraceae
Description: SSU rRNA
Rfam family: Eukaryotic small subunit ribosomal RNA
Source: RNAcentral